This 478-nucleotide long non-coding RNA is filed under the name Setaria viridis. RNAcentral's name for it is "long non-coding RNA (SVIR_LNC006637)". The record is from RNAcentral. Lineage: Eukaryota; Viridiplantae; Streptophyta; Magnoliopsida; Poales; Poaceae.
UGCCACGCAUCCUCCAACUCAACACUGUUCAGCCACAUUGGACUCGUCCCCUGGUUUUGAGGCUAAACUGGUCAAACCCUCUUACACGCCCCACAAGGCGUGAUUCACCCCCGGUUUUGAGGUCAAACCGAUCAAACCUUCUUGCAUGCUAUGCACAACAUGACUCACCGAUGUUGACGCAUGUCCGGCCUCCGCCAAGCCUUCGACGCCUCCAAGUCUUUUGCUCCCGGCUCCCGAGCUGCCUACUCGACUUAUAUCCCUCCCGCUUGACUCGACCGAUGCCGUCUCCAUCCCGUCCAUAUACUCUUGCUCCUCCGUGCACCAUGUGGAUCACCCAUGACUCUGCCCAGACUCCUCGGGUCCCUUAGUCCAAGCCUACUCAUGUCCACCUUCAUAGCCCUAGUACAUCGGCAUGGACCUUUUGCGCUUGACCUUCACCUCAUGCCGUUGACCGCCAUGUCGCAUCCUUCACCUGCAC